RNAcentral lists this ribosomal RNA (253 nucleotides) under uncultured bacterium. RNAcentral's name for it is "partial 16S ribosomal RNA". It matches the Rfam family "Bacterial small subunit ribosomal RNA", at positions 524 to 776 of the family's 1533-position model. The record is from RNAcentral.
GACGUAGGGCGCGAGCGUUGUCCGGAUUUAUUGGGCGUAAAGAGCUCGUAGGCGGCUUGUCGCGUCGUCCGUGAAAACUCACAGCUCAACUGUGAGCUUGCGGUCGAUACGGGCAGGCUGGAGUUCGGUAGGGGAGACUGGAAUUCCUGGUGUAGCGGUGAGAUGCGCAGAUAUCAGGAGGAACACCGGUGGCGAAGGCGGGUCUCUGGGCCGAUACUGACGCUGAGGAGCGAAAGCGUGGGGAGCGAACAGG